This 674-nucleotide long non-coding RNA is filed under the name Daucus carota (carrot). RNAcentral's name for it is "long non-coding RNA (DCAR_LNC001567)". Lineage: Eukaryota; Viridiplantae; Streptophyta; Magnoliopsida; Apiales; Apiaceae. The record is from RNAcentral.
UCAGGUAUACUAAAAUGUGUCAGAUCAAUAUUGUUCACCCUUAAGUUUAGGUCAAAGUUGUUCUUUCCUUUUUAUGGUAAGUUGCAGGUUCCAUGCCUGACAAGAAAAAUAAAAAAUAACUUGCAGGUUCCAUUUACUUGAAAUUUGUAUAGCAGUGAUAGUGUCGGUUCUUUGUUGUAUAGUAUUCUCUAAUAAACAUGUGUAAAAUGAUCACAUAAUAUCUUGCUUGACAUGUACCUUACCAUUGUAGAUUGCUCCUGCUGAAUUAGAGGCCAUAUUAAUCACUCACCCAGAAGUAGCUGAUGUUGCAGUGACAGCGUAAGUGGAACCACUUCUUUUGCUAAUAUAAUUCUUUUUGAUGAAAUGUAGUUGGAUUCUUACUGAUGACACCUGUAUUGAAAAACAACACAACAUUUCGUACUAACAUUAAUGAAAGAACUUCACCGAGGCAAAAUUGUGUUAAAUUAUAGAGUGGUCCACACCUGUAUUGGAAAACAACAUAUUUGAAUGUGUGAAUAAUUCAAGAUAAAUGCCAUACAAUUAUGCAGAGCCAAAGAUGAAGUUACUGGAGAAAUACCUGUAGCAUUUGUUGUGAAAAGGCAUGGAUCUGGAAGCAGGAUUUCUGAAGCAGAGUUAAUAGAUUACACUGCCAAGCAGGUUCGGAUAAGUUUCAG